This 294-nucleotide ribosomal RNA is filed under the name Clostridioides difficile. Its description in RNAcentral is "partial 23S ribosomal RNA". It matches the Rfam family "Bacterial large subunit ribosomal RNA", at positions 2057 to 2349 of the family's 2925-position model. The record is from RNAcentral. Lineage: Bacteria; Bacillati; Bacillota; Clostridia; Peptostreptococcales; Peptostreptococcaceae.
AGAUGCCGGAUACCUGCGACAGGACGGAAAGACCCCAUGGAGCUUUACUGUAGCUUGACAUUGGGUCUUGGUACUACAUGUACAGGAUAGGUGGGAGGCUUUGAAACCAGGACGCCAGUUUUGGCGGAGCCAUCCUUGGGAUACCACCCUUGUAGUACUGGGACUCUAACCAUAGGCCAUGAAUCUGGUCUUGGGACACUGUCAGGUGGGCAGUUUGACUGGGGCGGUCGCCUCCCAAAAGGUAACGGAGGCGCUCAAAGGUUCUCUCAGUACGGUCGGAAAUCGUACGUAGAG